AUGCACCGCAGAAGGGAAACCCCAAACCGAGGCAAAUCGGAGGUGCCGGCUGGGAAGGUUAAAGCAAGGCAACGUUCACUGGGCGCAGGGGCACGGCUCGGGGAUCCUCCCGGCAGCACCGCCGGCAGAUGGAAGGAGAAAUCCCCCGGCACGCGGCGGCAGCGCCAUCGGGCUGCGCGGCCAGGUGCUAAAAACCCGCUUUUCCCACCCAAAACCCGCGUGCGGGCGCCGAUCCCCGUCCCUCACCCCAAAACUCGGCUCCCGCCCCGCACGGUGAGCGAAGUUCCCCCCGGAUCGGGGAAAAAAAAACCAAAAAAAACCACAAAGAAAAACCCGGCGGAGAAGCACGGCACGGGCCGUGGGGGCUGCGUCCCGCCCCGCUUUUGGGGUCACCAGGCACCGAGUCCCUUCAGUACCCAGGAAAUCACAGGCUGGGAAGUGUUAACUGGUCCCAGUGAUGUUCAAGCACAGCCGCUCUUACCACAGCCUGACCAUCUAGAAGAUCCGCUGGUAAAGGGCCAAAACCAUGGGCUGAAUGUCUGCGUCAGAGGGGCAGCAAGUGGCAGAAGAUUCCCUUGUUCAGCCUGCCCACGCAGCACACAUCCACUGCUGGUUUGCUGCAAAACCACCUCCUUGAUGUGAAACCACACCGUGCAACAAGACACUUGUUAGCUCAGUCCAGGCUCUUCCUUCCCCUCCAUGCCUUUUGCCCUGCUACUAGCUGGAGAGAGGAAAAAAAAAGAAGGAAAAAAAAAAAAAAGGACUAUUUUUUAACAAAUUAUAAAGGUAACCUCUAAGAAGGAAAGCUUUAAGCUUCCAAAUCUGCUUCCUCGUCUGGAAAAUGGGGUUCAUUUUCCUCACAGGUGUUUUGCACCUCAGCAAGGUUUUCCCCAGCAGGUGCUAUGGAAGGUAAACCAUGAUUUCUCAGGUCUAGCCUGCAACGGGAGCUGGAGAACUGCAACUGAGUGAUGGGUUCUGGCUUACGGUGGUUUUAAGCCUGAUGUCCCCAAGGCCUUAUCUGCCUGCAAGCUGCUUCAUUUCAGUCACUUAAUUCAGAUUAAGGAUGGCUUUUGCAAAACCACAAUGAUCCUAGUUGAAAUAAAUACUCAAAUUCUGCACUAGCGUAAUUCCA
Anser cygnoides (Swan goose) is the source of this 1132-nucleotide long non-coding RNA. The record is from Ensembl. NCBI's taxonomy places the organism in Eukaryota, Metazoa, Chordata, Aves, Anseriformes, Anatidae.